AGUUCAGUUUGGUGGCAGAGUCCAAUUGAUGGAGCAGUGAGGAUUGUGCUCAUGGACGAUGCCAUGGACUGCUUGAUGUCUUUUUCAGAUUUCCUCUUUGCCUUCCAGAUCCAGUUUUACUACUCAGAAUUCCUGGACAGUGUGGCUGCCAUCUAUGAGGACCUGCUGUCAGGCAAGAACCCCAACACAGUGAUUGUGCCGACGUCGUCCAGUGGGCAGCACCGCCAACGACCUGCCUUGGGCGAGGCCGGCAUGCUGGAGGGCGUGGAGGCGUCGCUGUUCUACCAGUGUCUGGAAAACCUGUGUGAUCGGCACAAGUACAGCUGCCCACCCCCAGCACUUGUCAAAGAGGCCCUCAGCAAUGUUCAGAGACUGACCUUCUAUGGAUUCCUCAUGGCUCUCUCAAAGCACCAUGGAAUCAACCAAGCCCUCGGAGCUUUGCCUGAUAAGGGGGAUCUGAUGCACGACCCAGCAAUGGAUGAAGAGCUGGAACGGCUGCUGGCCCAGGUCCCAGGCCUGGUCAACUCGGUCACAGCCAGUCC
Molecule: small RNA, 542 nt
Filed under: Pan troglodytes (chimpanzee)
Lineage: Eukaryota; Metazoa; Chordata; Mammalia; Primates; Hominidae
Description: processed transcript
Source: RNAcentral